This 195-nucleotide unclassified non-coding RNA is filed under the name uncultured fungus. Its description in RNAcentral is "sequence contains ITS1". The record is from RNAcentral. Lineage: Eukaryota; Fungi.
UUAAAUAUUAAACUUUUUCUCAGACGACACUAUAAAUGGGUUUGGGUUUGGGUCCUCUGGCGGGCACUUACCAGCCGAAGCCAGUAGCUAGGCGGCCCGCCAAAGCAACAAAAGGUAAGGUAUACAAAGGGUGGGAGGUCUACCCGUGAGGGCAUGAACUCGGUAAUGAUCCUUCCGCAGGUUCACCUACGGAAA